CCCUGCUCCCACUUCUUCACCUUUUGCAGUACAGUUUACAGAAUGGAAAAGCUUCCGAGGGGUUUGCGUAUCUGCAGCCACCUGCAAGAGGAAGUUCUUGGCAGCCAGGCCUUCAGGAAGGCACCCACCCCAGGAGACUCAAAUUUCCUGUCGAUGUUGAUGUGCCCAUAUCUUCG
Molecule: long non-coding RNA, 176 nt
Filed under: Mustela putorius furo (domestic ferret)
Lineage: Eukaryota; Metazoa; Chordata; Mammalia; Carnivora; Mustelidae
Description: lncRNA (ENSMPUG00000030974.1)
Source: RNAcentral